CAGAAGAGAAUCAUCUGCAAUAAGGAACCCAUGGAUGAAUACCAUCUGGUCCUGGUGAUUUACUGCACAGAGUCCCUCAAGUUGCUCCAUACCUUUCUCCUGAGAGACUGAAGAAUCUCUGUCAAGGCCGUUCUCUGCUUUGCCAUAAAAUGUGUCCUUGGAACAAGAAUUUCCCCAUUGUCUUCUUCAAUAAAUACUGAUUCAAAGUAUUCAUUUAGCUGUUCCUCUCCUUCAUCAUUCCAUUUAACAUUCUCUUUCUC
RNAcentral lists this long non-coding RNA (260 nucleotides) under Homo sapiens (human). Its description in RNAcentral is "non-protein coding LINC00466:18". The record is from RNAcentral. Lineage: Eukaryota; Metazoa; Chordata; Mammalia; Primates; Hominidae.